GGGAAAUCUUACCGGGUCCGGACAUAUCGAGGAUUGACAGACAGUUAUACAUGCCCUACAAGUAGGAGUCAGGUUUUAAACCUAAUGGCUCUUUCAUGAUUAUAUGAUAGGUGGUGCAUGGCCGUUCUUAGUUCGUGGAGUGAUCUGUCUGCUUAAUUGCGUUUCAAAAUUUAACUUGAGGACCGGGUUUUGGUUUGGCUAGUGGUUCUACGAUGACUGUGAACUGUCAUGUCUUCGGAUGUGCGACUAUUGGUCUAGGAUCACAUGACUUGCCCCUGGGACUCUUUUGAACGCAACGGACGUGAUUGCAACCCCUUGUUGAGAUUAGAGAUAGUCUCGAUAUUCACUGGACAAACUGGCUGCUUUAUGCAGUCUUGUUGAAUGGUGGAUAAACUCGGGGGACUGCUGACUAUAACCAUUUCUCAAAACAGAGGAAGGUUGCGGCAAUAACAGGUCUGUGAUGCCCUCAGAUGUCCCGGGCUGCACACGUGCUACAAUGAGUGGCGCAAUGUGCUAAUGUUUAAGGGAUAAGAGUGUGGUCAGUAGAACGUCGGGAUUUCCCCUGACGUCUCCCCCGCACGAUUAUCAGCCUUCCCUUAACAGGGCGGGCAACCUUUUCAAAAUACUGGUUUGAUGUUAAAGUAUUGAGUCGUUUUUUUUGGAUGGUGGUUUGUUAACCAAUACCAUCCGGCAACUGCUCGCGAGUUUGUGGUUCUGGCGACUCAUGGUGGGGACCGACGUUUGUAAUUUUUUGUC
RNAcentral lists this ribosomal RNA (756 nucleotides) under Globigerinoides ruber albus. RNAcentral's name for it is "SSU rRNA". It matches the Rfam family "Eukaryotic small subunit ribosomal RNA", at positions 1207 to 1598 of the family's 1831-position model. Lineage: Eukaryota; Foraminifera; Rotaliida; Globigerinidae. The record is from RNAcentral.